RNAcentral lists this ribosomal RNA (501 nucleotides) under uncultured bacterium. RNAcentral's name for it is "partial 16S ribosomal RNA". The record is from RNAcentral.
GUAGUUAGCCGGGGCUUCCUCCUUGGGUACCGUCACUUUCUUCGUCCCCAAGGACAGAGGUUUACAAUCCGAAAACCUUCUUCCCUCACGCGGCGUUGCUGGGUCAGAGUUGCCUCCAUUGCCCAAUAUUCCCCACUGCUGCCUCCCGUAGGAGUCUGGACCGUAUCUCAGUUCCAGUGUGGCCGAUCACCCUCUCAGGUCGGCUACCCAUCGCGGGCUUGGUGGGCCGUUACCUCACCAACUACCUAAUGGGACGCGAGCCCCUCUACAAGCGAUAAAUCUUUUACCCCUGUGCCAUGCAGCACUGUGGUCUCAUGCGGUAUUAGCAGUCGUUUCCAACUGUUGUCCCCAUGAAAAGGGUAGGUUACCCACGCGUUACUCACCCGUCCGCCACUAACUCGCUCUGAAUCUGUCCGAAAACUUCAUCAAAGUCCGUCCGUUCGACUUGCAUGUGUUAAGCACGCCGCCACGCGUCGUCCUGAGCGACGAUACAACUACUGA